GACGAACGCUGGCGGCGUGCUUAACACAUGCAAGUCGAACGGAAAGGCCUUUUCGGAGGUACUCGAGUGGCGAACGGGUGAGUAACACGUGGGUGAUCUGCCCUGCACUCUGGGAUAAGCCUGGGAAACUGGGUCUAAUACCGGAUAGGACCGCACUUUAGUGUGUGGUGGAAAGUUUUUUCGGUGUAGGAUGAGCCCGCGGCCUAGCAGCUUGUUGGUGGGGUAAUGGCCUACCAAGGCGGCGACGGGUAGCCGGACUGAGAGGUUGGUCGGCCACAUUGGGACUUGGAUACGGCCCCGACCCCUACGGGAGGCAGCAGUGGGGAAUAUUGCACCAGGGGCGCGAGCCUGAUUCAGCGACGCCGCGUGGGGGAUUACGGCCUUCGGGCUGGAAACUCCUUUCGCCAUGGACGAAGCGUUUUGUGACGGUACCUGGAGAAGAAGCACCGGCUAACUACGUG
RNAcentral lists this ribosomal RNA (461 nucleotides) under uncultured bacterium. RNAcentral's name for it is "partial 16S ribosomal RNA". It matches the Rfam family "Bacterial small subunit ribosomal RNA", at positions 28 to 507 of the family's 1533-position model. The record is from RNAcentral.